This 253-nucleotide ribosomal RNA is filed under the name uncultured bacterium. RNAcentral describes it as "partial 16S ribosomal RNA". It matches the Rfam family "Bacterial small subunit ribosomal RNA", at positions 524 to 776 of the family's 1533-position model. The record is from RNAcentral.
UACGUAGGGGGCAAGCGUUGUCCGGAAUCAUUGGGCGUAAAGAGCGCGUAGGCGGCCCAGUAAGUCCGCUCUGAAAGUCAGGGGCUCAACCCCUGGAUGCGGGUGGAUACUGCUGGGCUAGAGUCCGGAAGAGGUGAGUGGAAUUCCUGGUGUAGCGGUGAAAUGCGCAGAUAUCAGGAGGAACACCGAUGGCGAAGGCAGCUCGCUGGGACGGUACUGACGCUAAGGCGCGAAAGCGUGGGGAGCGAACAGG